GAUGGGGCGAGGACGCGCGUCCCAGGAAAAAAUGAGGGUCUCACUUUGUUGCUCAGGCUGAUCUCGAGCUCCUGGCCUCAAGUGAUCCUCCCGCUUUUGGCCUCCCAAACUGAUGGGAUUACAACGUGGAGCCACCGUGUUAAACUCUUAGAUUUGACUGCUACAAAGGUAUAAAUGUGGAACUCCAUAUAUCAGUGGGUUCUGCCCCACUUCUUCCUCCCAGGAAUUCUCCAUCCCAGCCUGCUGCUCCUGUCUUGCACCGGGGAACAAACAUGUAUCCUGGAUGAAAAUAAACCAAGUCUAUUGAAACUGCAACCCAAGACAUUCAGAAGAGACAAGGCUACAGUGAAUCUGGAAACUUUGCACGUGUUUGGAUGUAUUGAUUGCCUUAACUGGCAGCCCUUUGCACUGCCAGCUUCCCUCAAUUACAUGAGGAACCACGAGGGGGCAAUGUCUUCCCGAGCAAUAAUAGCUGAGUGGUGGUCUUAGGACCCCGUGGUGGCCCAUGAUGCUAGCACCGUGUCUUUGGCCAUUCUUGCCUGUCAUGGAGCAUACUCCACAGAAGGGCAUGGUCUUCUUGGAGCCUGGCAUGGGCCCAACAAAAAUGACAAUGUAGUCAAUAGUUCCACUCAGACCUCACUUAGGAGCAGGUGGACUAUGUUGUGUGAUAUCAGGAUGCCCGGAGAACCUCUCCUAUCCCCACCCAGGGAAGCAUGGCUUAAUUCCAAAUAAAGAAUCUGAUUUCUUUGUCUUUAA
This 756-nucleotide non-coding RNA is filed under the name Pan troglodytes (chimpanzee). Lineage: Eukaryota; Metazoa; Chordata; Mammalia; Primates; Hominidae. The record is from RNAcentral.